This 458-nucleotide ribosomal RNA is filed under the name Mogibacterium timidum. Its description in RNAcentral is "bacterial SSU rRNA". It matches the Rfam family "Bacterial small subunit ribosomal RNA", at positions 28 to 487 of the family's 1533-position model. Lineage: Bacteria; Bacillati; Bacillota; Clostridia; Peptostreptococcales; Anaerovoracaceae. The record is from RNAcentral.
GAUGAACGCUGGCGGCGUGCCUAAUACAUGCAAGUCGAGCGAGAAGCUUGGAAAUGACGCUUCGGUUGAUUUUCCAAGCGGACAGCGGCGGACGGGUGAGUAACGCGUAGGCAACCUGCCCCUGACAGAGGGAUAGCCAUUGGAAACGAUGAUUAAAACCUCAUGACACCGUAGUAGCACAUGCUACAUCGGUCAAAGAUUUAUCGGUCAGGGAUGGGCCUGCGUCUGAUUAACUGGUUGGUGAGGUAACGGCUCACCAAGGUGACGAUCAGUAGCCGACCUGAGAGGGUGAUCGGCCACAUUGGAACUGAGACACGGUCCAAACUCUACGGAGGCAGCAGUAGGGAAUCUUGCACAAUGGGCGAAAGCCUGAUGCAGCAACGCCGCGUGAAGGAUGAAGGCCUUCGGGUUGUAAACUUCUGUUCUAAGGGAAGAAAGAAAUGACGUACCUAGAGCAG